UCGAACGCGAAAGGGUAGCAAUACCUGAGUAGAGUGGCGAACGGGUGAGUAAUGUGUGGGUAAUUUGCCUUUCAGAGGGGGAUAACCCGGCGAAAGCUGAGCUAAUACCCCAUGAAGUUACAUUUUCUUUGGAGGAUGUAAUCAAAAGAUGGCCUCUAUUUAUAAGCUAUUGCUGAAAGAUAAGCUCACAUCCUAUCACGCUUGUUGGUGAGGUAAUGGCUCACCAAGGCGACGACGGGUAGCCGGCCUGAGAGGGUGUCCGGCCACACUGGAACUGAGACACGGUCCAGACUCCUACGGGAGGCAGCAGUGGGGAAUUUUUCGCAAUGGGCGCAAGCCUGACGAAGCAACGCCGCGUGGAGGAUGAAGGCCCUCGUGGUCGUAAACUCCUGUCUAGCGGGACGAAAAUAUUCAGAGUGAAUAAAUCUGGAUAUUGACUGUACUGCUGGAGGAAGCUCCGGCCAACUCCGUGCCAGCAGCCGCGGUAAUACGGAGGGAGCAAGCGUUA
This 508-nucleotide ribosomal RNA is filed under the name uncultured bacterium. RNAcentral describes it as "bacterial SSU rRNA". It matches the Rfam family "Bacterial small subunit ribosomal RNA", at positions 62 to 543 of the family's 1533-position model. The record is from RNAcentral.